RNAcentral lists this ribosomal RNA (429 nucleotides) under Verrucomicrobiota bacterium. Its description in RNAcentral is "Verrucomicrobia bacterium partial 16S ribosomal RNA". It matches the Rfam family "Bacterial small subunit ribosomal RNA", at positions 355 to 776 of the family's 1533-position model. The record is from RNAcentral. Lineage: Bacteria; Pseudomonadati; Verrucomicrobiota.
UAGGGAAUCUUCCGCAAUGGACGAAAGUCUGACGGAGCAACGCCGCGUGAGUGAAGAAGGAUUUCGGUUCGUAAAACUCUGUUGUUAGGGAAGAAAAAAUGUAUAGUAACUAUAUACAAAAGAGACGGUACCUAACCAGAAAGCCACGGCUAACUACGUGCCAGCAGCCGCGGUAAUACGUAGGUGGCAAGCGUUGUCCGGAAUUAUUGGGCGUAAAGCGCGCGCAGGUGGUUUAGAAAGUCUGAUGUGAAAGCCCACGGCUCAACCGUGGAGGGUCAUUGGAAACUAAUAAACUUGAGUGCAGGAGAGAAAAGUGGAAUCCCUAGUGUAGCGGUGAAAUGCGUAGAGAUUAGGAGGAACACCGGUGGCGAAAGCGGCUUUUUGGCCUGCAACUGACACUGAGGCGCGAAAGCGUGGGGAGCAAACAGG